Molecule: ribosomal RNA, 301 nt
Filed under: uncultured bacterium
Lineage: Bacteria
Description: partial 16S ribosomal RNA
Rfam family: Bacterial small subunit ribosomal RNA
Source: RNAcentral
CAGUCGCCGCGGGAAUACGGAGGAUCCAAGCGUUAUCCGGAAUCAUUGGGUUUAAAGGGUCCGUAGGCGGUUUAGUAAGUCAGUGGUGAAAGCCCAUCGCUCAACGGUGGAACGGCCAUUGAUACUGCUGAACUUGAAUUAUUAGGAAGUAACUAGAAUAUGUAGUGUAGCGGUGAAAUGCUUAGAGAUUACAUGGAAUACCAAUUGCGAAGGCAGGUUACUACUAAUUGAUUGACGCUGAUGGACGAAAGCGUGGGGAGCGAACAGGAUUAGAUACCCCGGUAGUCCCUGUCUCUUAUAA